RNAcentral lists this long non-coding RNA (252 nucleotides) under Sinocyclocheilus grahami. RNAcentral's name for it is "lncRNA (ENSSGRG00000045543.1)". The record is from RNAcentral. Lineage: Eukaryota; Metazoa; Chordata; Actinopteri; Cypriniformes; Cyprinidae.
GCCCUGAGGAGGUUCUGAAGUAUAACAGCCUCAAUUACAGCUCAGCGAAAGCACGUAUAUGGGAUAUAAAGGGCUGUGAGAAGGACAGAAGCUCUUGCAACAUCACUGAGGAAGGAUUUUUGAUCUUUAAUGGCACCAGAAACAAUGGAAUCAGGUGGCUUUGCCAGCCUAAUUCUCCCUGUGCUGAUGUGCUAUCCAAGAACCCUGCAGUAUCUCCACGUUUCUUCUUCAUCAUUGAGGCCUCAAACAGGU